Molecule: small nuclear RNA, 120 nt
Filed under: Gopherus agassizii (Agassiz's desert tortoise)
Lineage: Eukaryota; Metazoa; Chordata; Testudines; Testudinidae
Description: U4 spliceosomal RNA (ENSGAGG00000002144.1)
Rfam family: U4 spliceosomal RNA (bases 1-79)
About the family: U4 small nuclear RNA (U4 snRNA) is a component of the major U2-dependent spliceosome.
Source: RNAcentral
AACCUUAAGUGGCAGUAUCAUAACCAAUGAAGUUAAUCUGAUAUGUGAUUAUUGCUAGUUGAAAACUUUUCCUACCAAUGAGCCUGCUAGAACAGUGUUUCUCAACGACCAGUCCUUGGA